Homo sapiens (human) is the source of this 143-nucleotide long non-coding RNA. RefSeq lists it as uncharacterized. The record is from RefSeq and is a predicted model, not a curated record. The transcript has 2 exons. NCBI's taxonomy places the organism in Eukaryota, Metazoa, Chordata, Mammalia, Primates, Hominidae.
GGAGAGUAUAACGAAAUAACAGAAGAGGUUACAGAGCAGAUGGGUCUAGUAAUGGCAAAGCUUCUUAUUCUGGAUCAAAAGGUAAAGUUUUCCAGACGCCCUAUACUUCAGCUUAAAAAGCGGAGCUUGUAGCUGUAAUUGAG